Ictalurus punctatus (channel catfish) is the source of this 3035-nucleotide long non-coding RNA. NCBI's taxonomy places the organism in Eukaryota, Metazoa, Chordata, Actinopteri, Siluriformes, Ictaluridae. The record is from Ensembl.
AUCUUCCUCACUGAGGAACUUCAUCAGGUGGACGUUCACAUGAAGACUCUUAAAGGAAGUGGUUAUGACAUUAUCGUUUUUCUUCACCAGAGGAAGUUUGUUCACUAAAGGAGGUCUUAACAUCAUCUGUGUACCGUCUCCUUACACACACACACACACGUUUCACAUAACCGUUGCAGUCUCACUUGUUCAGUCUUUAAGAAUGUCAUUGUGUGGAUUUUUCUUCACAUCACUUCUUAUCUUUUCUGCUCAUUUUCUCCAAACCUGCGCAGGCGGAGCUUUGGAUCCGGAGAAUCCUGGCUAUCCACAGCUGGUGCAGGUGUCCUCAGAUGUGUCCUCAGGCGUGGUGUUACGGUGUCUAGCCCCCCAGGGUCACAGUGGCCGAGUGUUUGAGCUCUACCACGUGCGCACACUCAAACUCUUGGUACAGUUUGACACAGGGCGCUCGUACGCCGACUUUCAGCUCAACACCAGCACUUCAGAUUCCGAGGAUAUCUACUGCUGCCGCUACGACCACAGCGGGUUCAGCCUGUACACCAGGCUCACUCAUCCACCAUGCCCGAACACACCCCCAGCUCCUCCUCAACUCUCGGUCAUACCUCCAGAUGGGUAUGUCCGGCCUGGUCAGGUGGUGGAGUUCCGUUGUCAGGCCCCGCCCACCCUUGCUCCUGUAUCAUUUGUCCUCCAGAAACAACAAAACAUGAUCCACUCCCAGAAUCCUCAGUUCAAGGUGGGGCCAGUGGGCGUGGCUGAUGGGGGCAUGUACAGCUGCUUCUACAUAUUUAACCUAUCAGAGGGAGUUCAAAAGUCUGUCCCCAGCGCACCUGUCUAUGUUAAUGUAGGAGUUAAGCUCCCAGCUCCGCAGUUAUCUCAGCGGGCAGAGGGGGCGCUAGUGUGCAUCGGGUCACCCUCCUACCCUGGUGCUUAUUUCUCCCUGUUCCAACAGGGUUCCUCAUCACCGAUAGCAACACAACACGCCCCCAAGAUUGAACACACCGUGCAAUUCACUGCAUCAGGGCAGCACUCGGAAGGAAGCAUGUACCAAUGUCAGUACAGUGUGCUGCUGGGUAAAAACUGGAUACAUUCUGAACUCAGCUCCCCCAUCGUACUGCAAUGUGUUACAGGAUCUCCUUCCUGCAGCUCAUCUUCUACAGAUAACCAUCCUCCACAUACAGGUUCAAUGGACCUGCCGUUGGUGUGUGGGUCCGUCUCAGCUGCACUGCUCUUCCUGAUGGUGCUCAUAAUCCUGGCCUUUGGGAUUCGCAAAUAUGCUAAAACAGCAGCCAAUAAAAGGAGACAAAGGGAACAGGAGCAGUUCUGGCAGCAGGUCCACUUCAGAGACCACAUCGUCGAUCUCACACUACAGAGAGUCAGCACUGGCUCCAAGGAGGAGGGAUUAACUUCAGUGUUGGAGCCCAUCUACGAAUCUCCAGUCAGCACAUUCACCCGCCCACCUGGCUACUGACACACUCGUGCGCUCUCUCUCUCUCUCUCUCUCUCUCUCUCUCUCUCUCGGCGACAGUGCAUAGUGAGAGCGCUACACACACAGACAGGUACAGCACACCUAAAUGGGCGGAGCAUGCCGAUGACAUGGCUGGGUUUUGGUUUGCAUGUAGUUACUUCAGUUUCUUUCUGACACAAAGGCAAACCGGGUCACACACACAAACGCUGAUCUCUCAGCAGUUUCUCUUCCUUUUUCUUUUUUAUUCGUCAUCAUCCUUUCAUUUAAUUACAUUCUUCACUCUUGUCCUUCUACUUUAUCUCAUUUACUCAUGGUUCUCUCUUUCUCCUCCUUCAUCUCAUUAUUUUUAUUUUAUUCCAUUUCUGUAUUCUCUCUCUCUCUCUCAGUAGCAUUUGCACGAUUUGGAUUUUGCAUUAAAGGCUCUUAUGUUUAUAAAAUGUCCUUUGAAAAUAAAUUAAUGCUUUAUUAAUGAUAUUUUAUGUAUGAAUACACAGAGAGAGAGAGAUUGCAGAAGGAAGUACAGACAUACUGUUGCUGGAGAGUUGAGCAAUAAAAGCACAUUAUAUCCUGUUAACUACAUCAUUAUCAUCAGUGGAUCAGUGCAAGCAAUGCUGCUUGUGUAACUAUGUACACUUUUAUUGAUCGCUAAAUGUUUGAGGUGUUAUGAACAUUUAUAACUCUGUAGAUGUUCAGUACAGACUGUACUCCAACAGGCUCAGUGAGAAGUGCAAAAUAACUCACUGUUCAUCCCAUUUAUAGCUGAAUGCAAAUUACACUUCUGUCUGGCUGUGUCUUUGUCUUUCCAAUACAGCUUUUUGACUUCCUCUAACCAGAGUGUGUAUUAGACACUUUAUUAGGUCUUCACUGCUCUCCUUAGUUUUUCAUCAUCAUUUUUAAAAAAAAAUUUUUAUUAUUAUUAUUUUUUUAUUUAUUUUUUUUAUCACAUUUCUGGUUAAAGCAUGUGUAAGUCAAUAAUAAAGAAAUGGUGUGGUCCAUUAUAGGGGGGAUUGGGUAGCAAAAUUAUAUUUUGGUAUUGGCAAUGAAAGUUAUUUUGUGUGUGUGUUUUAAGAACAUAUCCAACCUUUGUCUUUAAUCUCCUAUUAGUGAUCGGUGGAGUACAGGGAGGGUUAAUGUGUUAAUUCAGGAGUUCAGACCCCCUCAAGAACACCCUUUAGUCAAAAGUUCAUGGGCUGUUCCACAUCUUUAUCCGCUCAGGUGACAGUAUUUAAUGAGAAGAAAGGUGUAGAGAUGCUCCUGAGGCUAAUCUUAAUCACAUUAAUGAGCAUUAACAUUGAACAUUUUAGCCAAGUGUCUUCACAACAUCAGGAUUUUUAGUUCAUCUGGUUUAGCUUAAUUAGUCAGUUGUUGUUAAUCAGGGUUAGGUAAUCUGGUUAAAUUGAUCCUCAUUAUUUGAACUUUGGUUUUAGGUGAUCCGGUUUAGUAUUAGUUUGUAUUAUAAUAACCACUGCAAUUUAAUCUGUUCUUUAAGUAGUUAAAUUACCUACAUUGUGUAAAAACUGGUGUUAAUACUGAACACUAAAUUGAUUUUUUUAAAACCAUUUUUGUCCUAAAA